Long non-coding RNA from Triticum aestivum (bread wheat), 859 nucleotides. RefSeq lists it as uncharacterized. The record is from RefSeq and is a predicted model, not a curated record. The transcript has 2 exons. NCBI's taxonomy places the organism in Eukaryota, Viridiplantae, Streptophyta, Magnoliopsida, Poales, Poaceae.
CUAGGUAGUAUCACUACUCCGUGACAAGAUUGUCUGAGGGUAGGUAUCGACUUACCAUCAAUUCCCCAGCCAAUAUAGAGGGGUGUGACGCCAAUGGCAUCACGUGCAGCAAUGAAGCUGUUGUCGCGUGUAUCGAGCAAGACGAAGGAGAAGACACCAUCCAGCAUGUCGAUGAAGUUCUCCCCAUGCUCCUCGUACUAUACAAUGGUGACUGACCAGGUGUGCGAUGACCUCGCAGUCGCUGCCUGUCCUGAACGUGUGGGAGGAGAGCUGCGCCCGGAGCUGUUCAUGGUUGUAGAUCUCUCCAUUCACCUGCAAGGAGUACUUGUUUUAACAGAAAGAACCAAGCUACAAUAGCGGCAGAGAUAUACACACAGAAAGUAAACGUACUGUGACGACGAUGGACUUGUCCUCGUUGUAGAGCGGCUGGUCGCCAGAGGCAGGGUCGAUAAUGGCGAGGCGCUGGUGGGAGAGGUAGCAGUCGCCAACCUGGUGCAUGCCGCUCCAGUCGGGGCCGCGGUGCUUGAGCCUGCGCGAGAGCUCGAGCACGCGCACUCUCUUCCCCUGGGUGUCAUCAGCGCAGCCCAGCACCGCCAGUAUGCCGCACAUUUUCCUGGAUCGACGGCAACAGUAUGUAGCUAGAAGAUCUCUCUCUGUGCUUCUGAAGGAGGAUGGGUGUGCCGUAUGAGUUGCACAAGAGCGUCUAUUUAUAGGCUGCCAAGAGCUGAGCUGAGCUGAGAGUGAGGAGCGUAGCGGGGCGCCGCGGUAGACCAGUAGCAUGUUGCAUGGUGUAUUAUCACAUGUAUUCUAUUCCAUCUUUUCCUUUUCCUUUGGGCUGUUGCGAUGACUCAUCUGAUCC